GGCCUCGGCCCGAGUUGUAAUUUGUAGAGGAUGCUUUUGGUGCGGUGCCUUCUGAGUUCCCUGGAACGGGACGCCUUAGAGGGUGAGAGCCCCGUAAAGUUGGACACCAAGCCUAUGUAAAGCUCCUUCGACGAGUCGAGUAGUUUGGGAAUGCUGCUCAAAAUGGGAGGUAAAUUUCUUCUAAAGCUAAAUACCGGCCAGAGACCGAUAGCGCACAAGUAGAGUGAUCGAAAGAUGAAAAGCACUUUGAAAAGAGGGUUAAAAAGUACGUGAAAUUGUUGAAAGGGAAGCGCUUAUGACCAGACUUGUGCCCUGCGGAUCAUCCAGCCUUCUGGCUGGUGCACUUCGCUUGGUUCAGGCCAGCAUCGGUUUUCUGAGGGGGAUAAAAGCUUCAGGGACGUGGCUCCUCCGGGAGCGUUAUAACCUGUUGCA
RNAcentral lists this ribosomal RNA (432 nucleotides) under Phialemonium dimorphosporum. RNAcentral describes it as "eukaryotic LSU rRNA". It matches the Rfam family "Eukaryotic large subunit ribosomal RNA", at positions 124 to 568 of the family's 3401-position model. RNAcentral also lists the same sequence under 1 other name. Lineage: Eukaryota; Fungi; Ascomycota; Sordariomycetes; Cephalothecales; Cephalothecaceae. The record is from RNAcentral.